Oncorhynchus keta (chum salmon) is the source of this 611-nucleotide long non-coding RNA. RefSeq lists it as uncharacterized. The record is from RefSeq and is a predicted model, not a curated record. The transcript has 3 exons. NCBI's taxonomy places the organism in Eukaryota, Metazoa, Chordata, Actinopteri, Salmoniformes, Salmonidae.
AAUCUCCGUAGAAACAUAUUUUGCUGACAUGUUCCAAGGGAUGUUCUUUUAGCUCCUGUCAAAAGAUUAUCAAGGAAUGCAGGAAAAGAUUCAUCAUUUGAUUGCCUGCCACCACAACAAAAAGGUGGUUUCUGAAUGAGAUAUAAUGGGUAGAGAAUGAUAGAUGACCAAGUGGUUAGAGUGGAGGGACGGCAGGUAGUCUAGUGGUUAGAGUGUAGGGACGGCAGGUAGCCUAGUGGUUAGAGUGUAGGGACGGCAGGUAGCCUAGUGGUUAGAGUGUAGGGACGGCAGGUAGCCUAGUGGUUAGAGUGUAGGGACGGCAGGUAGCCUAGUGGUUAGAGUGUAGGGACGGCAGGUAGCCUAGUGGUUAGAGUGUAGGGACGGCAGGUAGCCUAGUGGUUAGAGUGUAGGGACGGCAGGUAGCCUAGUGGUUAGAGUGUAGGGACGGCAGGUAGCCUAGUGGUUAGAGUGUAGGGACGGCAGGUAGCCUAGUGGUUAGAGUGUAGGGGCAGGCAGGUAGUCUAGUGGUUAGAGUGGAGGGACGGCAGGUAGCCUAGUGGUUAGAGUGUAGGGACGGCAGGUAGCCUAGUGGUUAGAGUGUAGGGACGGCA